UACGUAGGUGGCGAGCGUUGUCCGGAUUUACUGGGCGUAAAGAGCGCGCAGGCGGUCGUAUAAGUCGCGUGUGAAAGCCCCCGGCUCAACUGGGGAGGGUCACGCGAUACUGUUCGACUUGAAGGCAGGAGAGGGAAGCGGAAUUCCCGGUGUAGUGGUGAAAUGCGUAGAUAUCGUAAGGAAGACCAGUGGCGAAGGCGGGUCUCUGGACAGUUCCUGACGCUGAGGCACGAAGGUCAGGGGAGCAAACGGG
This 253-nucleotide ribosomal RNA is filed under the name uncultured bacterium. RNAcentral describes it as "partial 16S ribosomal RNA". It matches the Rfam family "Bacterial small subunit ribosomal RNA", at positions 524 to 776 of the family's 1533-position model. The record is from RNAcentral.